Molecule: long non-coding RNA, 276 nt
Filed under: Brassica napus (rape)
Lineage: Eukaryota; Viridiplantae; Streptophyta; Magnoliopsida; Brassicales; Brassicaceae
Description: long non-coding RNA (BNAP_LNC003671)
Source: RNAcentral
AGAGAUCAUGUAAUUUUAUUUCCGAGUAUUUUGGAAACUUUUUGUAAUUCUUAUCGCUAUCCAAAUUUGGUUGAUACAAUAAUUUCAAUUCCUAUAAUAAAAUUUCAUUAAUUUUUAAUACAGGAUUUUUUGAAAAUUUAAGAUUUAACAAAACCUAAGUUCAAUCUUUUUAUAAUAUCCGUGCAGCUUACGCAUAGUAAAAUUAUCUAUUCAAUAGUAUUCAUUAUGACCUUGAUAUGUGUUUUUCUAAAAUUACAGAUUAUAUACUUUGCACAU